UGCAUUUGAGGUUUUUUUAAUGAUUGUGAAAAUUCUUUAUGGCUACAUUAAUUGCAGUUAGAGAAUAAGAUAAGCAUACUAACACUGGGUUAAGGGCUUGAGUGGUUUGGCCUUUGACUCAAGAAUUGUAUGACCUUUUAGAAUUCAAAUUAAGCAUAUUUAGUACAGAACUGGAGCUUUCAAAAAAAUCCUCCAGUGUCACUUAACAUGCUACAUUUCUGUCUUUUGUUUUUUUUUCUAAACAUUCUGUGAUUAUGCAUCCUGAAAUUGGGGGUCCUAUAUGAGUGUGUGCCCACAUCCCCUGAAGCUAAAUACCCAGUUACAGUCCAGAUCCAGUGAGAUGCAGAGAGGAAGCCAAAGACUGCUCCCGAGCUGUGGUAGUUGGAUUGGGACGUUGGGACCAGGAUCCUUCUGGGGGCAAGCUGUAAACACGAUAGGUCCCAGGUGGUCCAGUCUGGUGAGAGGGCCAGAGAACAUUCACCCUAUAGAGGAAUGAAGCUGAAGUUUGGGGGAGAUUUAUGUACCUUUCACAAUGCAGGGCCUGUGAGAGGGUAGGAUGUCAAAUGAAGGUGGAAAAUUGAGUGAAUCAUGGAUCAAAGAAUGCAGAUGAGCCCCUUCCUCAAAGAAAUUUAAGAGGAUUAAGUGUCAGGGUAAGGUUGCCACUUAAUCCACCCAGUGGGAUACAGGAAUGUUAGGCAUCCCAUUACACCACAGCUCCUCCUCCCACACAGGUGAGCAGGGAAGAGGGGGCAGGGAGUGGGAAAAGCCUUGCCUACACAGUGCAAUGCACCAGCCUCGGAGAGUCAGCCUGGAGAGAAAAGUAAUCUGCACCUGGUAAAUGGCUGGCACAGAUGUUCUGCUGAACCAUUGCAGCUACUUACAGAUUUACUUUUUAAUGUUACAUAUGACACACUAUGGCACAUUUUGUACAUCAAUACACACAUAUACAGAAUACAUAUGGAGUUGCUUUGUAUCAAAGCCUGAGUUUGGGAUUGGUUGAAUUAUUGAAUGGUAAAACCAUGACUAUGUUAUGUAGCUCUUUCUAAAUAAGGGUAACUCCACACCAUAUCAGCAUGGAUUCUUUGUAUAAGAAGUAUGUUGCAGAAAAUUAUAUUAGGAAUGUUUUAGAAACUUUAACAGAAUUUUAUUGGCAUUUUUCUUAUUAUUUUAGUUGUGAAGCUGGAUGCCUUAUUUACAUCAGUCCAGCUGUACAGAGCUCAGGGAAAGCCAUAAAAAAAAAGCCAUAAAAGUGCAUUUUUCUCUAUGUAAAAAUAUAUUACCAUUUUGAAGUUCGUUCUCCUCUGACAUUUUGGGGCUAGAAGGGAGUGCUGGAUCCCAGUACUGGCUUCUAUUCCCAUGGUAUAUAGCUCCCAUUUCUUGACCUGCAGGAUCCCAGAGUUCAUUUAUGACAUAUUUACACAUACUAAAGCUGUGAGUAGUCCAGGCCUGACUCUCUUCUUGGGUAGGGAUAAGUUAGGAAUAAAGACUCACAUUUUGGGGAGAAAGUUGUAAUA
Molecule: long non-coding RNA, 1514 nt
Filed under: Chrysemys picta bellii (western painted turtle)
Lineage: Eukaryota; Metazoa; Chordata; Testudines; Emydidae
Description: lncRNA (ENSCPBG00000006934.1)
Source: RNAcentral